CUACGUGCCAGCAGCCGCGGUAAUACGUAUGUCACAAGCGUUAUCCGGAUUUAUUGGGCGUAAAGCGCGUCUAGGUGGUUAUGUAAGUCUGAUGUGAAAAUGCAGGGCUCAACUCUGUAUUGCGUUGGAAACUGCAUGACUAGAGUACUGGAGAGGUAAGCGGAACUACAAGUGUAGAGGUGAAAUUCGUAGAUAUUUGUAGGAAUGCCGAUGGGGAAGCCAGCUUACUGGACAGAUACUGACGCUAAAGCGCGAAAGCGUGGGUAGCAAACAGGAUUAGAUACCCUGGUAGUCCACGCCGUAAACGAUGAUUACUAGGUGUUGGGGGUCGAACCUCAGCGCCCAAGCUAACGCGAUAAGUAAUCCGCCUGGGGAGUACGUACGCAAGUAUGAAACUCAAAGGAAUUGACGGGGGCCCGCACAAGCGGAGGAACAUGUGGUUUAAUUCGAUGAUACGCGAGGAACCUUACCCGGGAU
Molecule: ribosomal RNA, 477 nt
Filed under: uncultured bacterium
Lineage: Bacteria
Description: bacterial SSU rRNA
Rfam family: Bacterial small subunit ribosomal RNA
Source: RNAcentral